AGUGAACGCUGGCGGUAGGCCUAACACAUGCAAGUCGAACGGCAGCACAGUAAGAGCUUGCUCUUACGGGUGGCGAGUGGCGGACGGGUGAGGAAUACAUCGGAAUCUACUUUUUCGUGGGGGAUAACGUAGGGAAACUUACGCUAAUACCGCAUACGACCUACGGGUGAAAGCAGGGGAUCUUCUGACCUUGCGCGAUUGAAUGAGCCGAUGUCGGAUUAGCUAGUUGGCGGGGUAAAGGCCCACCAAGGCGACGAUCCGUAGCUGGUCUGAGAGGAUGAUCAGCCACACUGGAACUGAGACACGGUCCAGACUCCUACGGGAGGCAGCAGUGGGGAAUAUUGGACAAUGGGCGCAAGCCUGAUCCAGCCAUACCGCGUGGGUGAAGGAGGCGUUCGGGUUGUAAAGCCCUUUUGUUGGGAAAGAAAAGCAGCAGGUUAAUACCCCGCUGUUCUGACGGUACCCAAAGAAUAAGCACCGGCUAACUUCGUG
RNAcentral lists this ribosomal RNA (492 nucleotides) under uncultured bacterium. RNAcentral's name for it is "partial 16S ribosomal RNA". It matches the Rfam family "Bacterial small subunit ribosomal RNA", at positions 29 to 507 of the family's 1533-position model. The record is from RNAcentral.